Molecule: ribosomal RNA, 253 nt
Filed under: uncultured bacterium
Lineage: Bacteria
Description: partial 16S ribosomal RNA
Rfam family: Bacterial small subunit ribosomal RNA
Source: RNAcentral
UACGGAGGGGGCUAGCGUUGUUCGGAAUUACUGGGCGUAAAGCGCACGUAGGCGGAUCAGUCAGUCAGGGGUGAAAUCCCGGGGCUCAACCCCGGAACUGCCUUUGAUACUGCUGGUCUUGAGGUCGAGAGAGGUGAGUGGAAUUCAGAGUGUAGAGGUGAAAUUCGUAGAUAUUCGGAGGAACACCAGUGGCGAAGGCGGCUCACUGGCUCGAUACUGACGCUGAGGUGCGAAAGCGUGGGGAGCAAACAGG